RNAcentral lists this ribosomal RNA (768 nucleotides) under uncultured bacterium. RNAcentral's name for it is "bacterial SSU rRNA". It matches the Rfam family "Bacterial small subunit ribosomal RNA", at positions 574 to 1342 of the family's 1533-position model. The record is from RNAcentral.
GGUGGUUUGUCGCGUCGUCUGUGAAAUUCCGGGGCUUAACUCCGGGCGUGCAGGCGAUACGGGCAUAACUUGAGUGCUGUAGGGGAGACUGGAAUUCCUGGUGUAGCGGUGAAAUGCGCAGAUAUCAGGAGGAACACCGAUGGCGAAGGCAGGUCUCUGGGCAGUUACUGACGCUGAGGAGCGAAAGCAUGGGUAGCGAACAGGAUUAGAUACCCUGGUAGUCCAUGCCGUAAACGGUGGGCGCUAGGUGUAGGGGGCUUCCACGUCUUCUGUGCCGUAGCUAACGCAUUAAGCGCCCCGCCUGGGGAGUACGGCCGCAAGGCUAAAACUCAAAGGAAUUGACGGGGGCCCGCACAAGCGGCGGAGCAUGUGGAUUAAUUCGAUGCAACGCGAAGAACCUUACCUGGGCUUGACAUACACCAGAUCGCUGCAGAGAUGUAGUUUCCCUUGUGGUUGGUGUACAGGUGGUGCAUGGUUGUCGUCAGCUCGUGUCGUGAGAUGUUGGGUUAAGUCCCGCAACGAGCGCAACCCUUGUCUUAUGUUGCCAGCAUUUUAGUUGGGGACUCAUGAGAGACUGCCGGGGUUAACUCGGAGGAAGGUGGGGAUGACGUCAAAUCAUCAUGCCCCUUAUGUCCAGGGCUUCACACAUGCUACAAUGGUCGGUACAACGCGCAGCGACACUGUGAGGUGGAGCGAAUCGCUGAAUGCCGGUCUUAGUUCGGAUUGGGGUCUGCAACUCGACCCCAUGAAGUCGGAGUCGCUAGUAAU